ACCCAGAGCUGCACGAGGACGUCGCCGUCGCUCUGCGUAUCACGGAUGUAGGACAGGGCCUGGCUGAACCGCUCCCGCACGGAGGGGGUGCUCGCGCCGCCCGUCUGAAUCAACCAGCUGGCGUUCGCGGCCGGCGCCGCCGUCGUCGUCACUGUGGUGGCCGUCGCGUCAGCCGAGAAGAAGGCCGAGGGUGGAGGAAACGCUACCGAGUUGGGCGAGCGCGAGACCACCUCGAGCCAACCGUUGUCGCCGGACAGUAGCUGCUCAAGGAGAUCCAAGUCGACGGCCCCCGCGCCUUCGGACGUGGUGCGUGCCACGGAGAUGCUCGGAAGCUGCGGGUCUCCUCCCUCUUCCAUGCAGAUGCAGGUAACACUCUCUUCAGAACCUGCUCUACACAGUUCAUCGCGAACGCACUGCAUCAGUGGUAGCUAUGAUCUUGGUAACGCUAACAACAAAACUUGGGCAUGCAAGGCCACAGUGCUUCACUUCUGUUCUGCUGGAGAUCAAGAAGCAAGGCUCCAUGCACAUCUUGGGCUAGGAAACCAUGGGAAUCCUUGGGAGAAUUUUGUGCUAGGCAUGUUGCCUUCAGGUUGCAGGGUGUGGGAGAACACAUCAUUUUCAAUGGAAAGCAAGCAGCGAAAGAGAUUGAUAGUUAGGUAGCAAGCAGCUCACUGUUAAUCACACGCCUGACGCCUCCGUUCUUGUCAUCAAAAAGGCUCCCGUUCUCCUCUCUUCCUCCUGUGGAUUAGCUAGGUGCCAGCCUCCACCAGGUAGCUCGGUUCUGCUCACCUCAACUCACCCCCGGAAAUGGCUCGAUGCUCCACUGCAUCUAGUGGUCCUAGUGGAUCCUGCUGCGCUGCGAAACGGAAAGGAGAACAAAAAAAAUUGCUUGGCCGGGCUUCGCUUGGUGUUGCCCUUAUUUUUUGGCGUCGUCGUUACAACAAAGGAAUCCAAUCAUAGGUCCAUACCCGCUUGGCGCUUCCAUAUUUUCCAUAUAUAAAGUCAACUUGCAAGGGUGAUUCUGCAGCUUCAGAAGGAUUCCUUGUUCUUUACUUGGGGAGUUAUUCCAAGGCUCUUGUGAUCAAAGGUCAAUAAACUAGUAACAUAAUUGUGGUUUGGGUGGAGGUACAUGUGAUCUGGAUACCAAAGUCCAAAUGAAAGGUUAAUCAUAUGAUGGAGCAAUAAAUUUUUAUUCCCAAGGCUGUUCCAAAUUUAGGAACUGCUUUAAAUAUUUUCAAGACGUCACUUACUAUAUUAUUCCUCCCAUGUGAACAUGUUUCUGCGCCCUGAUCCCCUGAUCAGGGACAGGGAGGAACACGAUAAAAUAGUGCUUUGGUUCAUUAUUCCGUGACAUGUACAGGAAUCUUGACGCCUCUUUGUAAUGCUACAAGUCAGAACAGUACAGGUGUAGUAGUACUGUAAUACAAGUCUGCCUUUUUAUAUUGACUUUCAA
Long non-coding RNA from Zea mays, 1453 nucleotides. RefSeq lists it as uncharacterized. NCBI's taxonomy places the organism in Eukaryota, Viridiplantae, Streptophyta, Magnoliopsida, Poales, Poaceae. The record is from RefSeq and is a predicted model, not a curated record. The transcript has 3 exons.